Molecule: ribosomal RNA, 464 nt
Filed under: uncultured soil bacterium
Lineage: Bacteria
Description: bacterial SSU rRNA
Rfam family: Bacterial small subunit ribosomal RNA
Source: RNAcentral
AGGACGAACGCUGGCGGCGCGCCUUACGCAUGCAAGUCGCACGGACCUUCGGGUUAGUGGCGGACGGCUGAGUAACGCGUAGGUAACCUAUCCAGUGGUGGGGGACAACCCUUCGAAAGAAGGGCUAAUACCGCAUGUGAUCCCGGUGUGAGAUUCAACGGGAUGAAAGCCGCAAGGCGCCACUUGAGGGGCCUGCGUCCUAUCAGGUAGUUGGUGGGGUAACGGCCUACCAAGCCUGUGACGGGUAGCUGGUCUGAGAGGACGACCAGCCAGAAGGGGACUGAGACACGGCCCCUACUCCUACGGGAGGCAGCAGCGAGGAAUCUUGGGCAAUGGGCGAAAGCCUGACCCAGCGACGCCGCGUGAGGGAUGAAGGCCUUCGGGUCGUAAACCUCUUUUGUGAGGGAAGAAGUUCUGACGGUACCUCACGAAUAAGCCACGGCUAACUACGUGCCAGCAGCCGC